AGCUUUGUGAGUGGCAGUAUCAUAGCCGAUGAGGUUUAUCUGAGGUGCACUAUUAUUGUUAAUUGAAAAUUUUUCCCUAAAUGUUUAUUCUAUUUUACAAUAAAAAGAUCAAUCUGAAUUACAGAAUGUUUUCCAAAA
Small nuclear RNA from Kogia breviceps (pygmy sperm whale), 138 nucleotides. RefSeq annotates it as U4 spliceosomal RNA. The transcript has a single exon. The record is from RefSeq and is a predicted model, not a curated record. NCBI's taxonomy places the organism in Eukaryota, Metazoa, Chordata, Mammalia, Artiodactyla, Physeteridae.